CCUACGGUGGGCAGCAGUGGGGAAUUUUGGGCAAUGGAGGAAACUCUGACCCAGCAACGCCGCGUGAAUGAUGAAGGUCUGCGGAUUGUAACGUUCUUUUCUAAGGGAAGAGAAAAGUGACAGUACCUUAGGAAUAAGUCUCGGCUAACUACGUGCCAGCAGCCGCGGUAAUACGUAGGAGGCGAGCGUUAUCCGGAAUGACUGGGCGUAAAGGGUGCGUAGGUGGUUGGGCAAGUUAGUAGAGUAACUACAAGGCUCAACCUUGGAACUACUACUAAAACUGUUGGACUUGAGUGCAGGAGGGGCAACCGGAAUUCUUGGUGUAGCGGUGGAAUGCGUAGAUAUUAGGAAGAACACCAGUGGCGAAGGCGGGUUGCUAGACUGUAACUGACACUGAGGCACGAAAGCGUGGGGAGCAAACAGGAUUAGAUACCCCUGUAGUC
RNAcentral lists this ribosomal RNA (443 nucleotides) under uncultured bacterium. RNAcentral describes it as "partial 16S ribosomal RNA". It matches the Rfam family "Bacterial small subunit ribosomal RNA", at positions 338 to 795 of the family's 1533-position model. The record is from RNAcentral.